This 393-nucleotide ribosomal RNA is filed under the name uncultured bacterium. RNAcentral describes it as "partial 16S ribosomal RNA". It matches the Rfam family "Bacterial small subunit ribosomal RNA", at positions 523 to 918 of the family's 1533-position model. The record is from RNAcentral.
AUACGGAGGAUCCGAGCGUUAUCCGGAUUUAUUGGGUUUAAAGGGAGCGUAGGUGGAUUGUUAAGUCAGUUGUGAAAGUUUGCGGCUCAACCGUUAAAUUGCAGUUGAAACUGGCAGUCUUGAGUACAGUAGAGGUGGGCGGAAUUCGUGGUGUAGCGGUGAAAUGCUUAGAUAUCACGAAGAACUCCGAUUGCGAAGGCAGCUCACUAGACUGCAACUGACACUGAUGCUCGAAAGUGUGGGUAUCAAACAGGAUUAGAUACCCUGGUAGUCCACACAGUAAACGAUGAAUACUCGCUGUUUGCGAUAUACAGUAAGCGGCCAAGCGAAAGCAUUAAGUAUUCCACCUGGGGAGUACGCCGGCAACGGUGAAACUCAAAUGAAUUGACGGGG